UUUCAAAACUUUAAAAAUAAAUUUUAUUCCAACUCCUCUCUACAUAAUUAGGCCCUUUUAUUUUAUACUCAGUAAUUUAACUUGGUGCUAGAAUAAUUUCAGUAAUCACAUAUUUACUAUUAAAAGACAUAUUAAUAUCCCAAUAAUAUGCCAAUACAAACACUCCAAAAAAUUUUAUCCAAGAGUUCUAAACUAAAAUAAAUCAUGUAGGCACAGUGAAAGAGUGAGAAAACAGAACCUAUAGUAAUGAGAAACAGUACCAAAAUCUCAACAUGAAGAAAGCAACCCAUUGAAACAUGAUUUAAUGACUGAAAAUACACAUGAGGAUGGCCAUAAAUAGUAAGGAGAUUGUCGGAGGAGUGACUGGAAUAUCAAUGGACAUCACAUGCACAGUGUCAUGGAAUAAGUGAUUCAAUACUCGAAUUUCACUUCAACCGUGCGGCAAUUAGUUGCACGAACUAAGUUCAGCAUUUUCAAUAGCUCAAAACAAGAGUUG
This 496-nucleotide long non-coding RNA is filed under the name Manihot esculenta (cassava). RNAcentral describes it as "long non-coding RNA (MESC_LNC011211)". Lineage: Eukaryota; Viridiplantae; Streptophyta; Magnoliopsida; Malpighiales; Euphorbiaceae. The record is from RNAcentral.